AGAGUUUGAUCCUGGCUCAGGAUAAACGCUGGCGGCGUGCCUAACACAUGCAAGUCGAACGCUCUUGGAAACAAGGGAGUGGCGGACGGGUGAGGAACACGUGGGUCAUCUACCUUGGGGUGGGGAAUACCGGCGAGAAAUCCCGACAAUACCGCAUAGGUUUGGAAACAAACAAAGCUGGGAGCAAUCCUGGCGCCACAAGAUGAGCCUGCGGCCGAUUAGCUAGCUGGUGGGGUAAAAGCCUACCAGGGCUUCGAUCGGUAGCUGGUCUGAGAGGACGAUCAGCCGCACUGGGAUUGAGAACGGCCCAACUCCUACGGGGGGCAGCAGUGAGGAAUUUUCGUCAAUGGGGGAAACCCUGAACGAGCAACGCCGCGUGCAGGAAGAAGGUUUUCGGAUCGUAACUGCUUUUCUUGGGGAAGAGAACGGACGGUACCCAGGGAAGAAGCCCCGGCUAACUACGUGCCAGCAGCCGCGGUAAUACGUAGGGGGCAAGCGUUGUCCGGAUUUAUUGGGCGUAAAGCGCACGCAGGCGGUCUGGUAAGUUUCGAGUGACAGGUGGUGGCUUAACUGCCACAGGCCUUGGAAAACUGCCAGACUUGAGGACUUCAGAGGGAUGCGGAAUUCCAGGUGGAGCGGUGAAAUGCGUAGAGAUCUGGAAGAACACCAAUGGCGAAGGCAGCAUCCUGGGAAGUAACUGACGCUCAGGUGCGAAAGCCAGGGGACGAACGGGAUUAGAUACCCUAGUAGUCC
Molecule: ribosomal RNA, 753 nt
Filed under: uncultured bacterium
Lineage: Bacteria
Description: bacterial SSU rRNA
Rfam family: Bacterial small subunit ribosomal RNA
Source: RNAcentral